Molecule: long non-coding RNA, 401 nt
Filed under: Lathyrus oleraceus (garden pea)
Lineage: Eukaryota; Viridiplantae; Streptophyta; Magnoliopsida; Fabales; Fabaceae
Description: Pisum sativum (pea) long non-coding RNA (PSAT_LNC018986)
Source: RNAcentral
AACCAAAGUCACCAGAGAGCCAAGAAAAUCCACUGGAGACUGGGAUAUCAGGGAGCAACACCAUCCUGCAGGGGAGGAAGGCCACCAGAGGCUUCCGGAGGGAUCGUCGGUCACAACCGGAGAACAGAGCUCAGCAUACAGGCGGACGCGCCAUGACCACUCGUGCUGGAGAUCAGAGAUACCAUGAAGCAACCAGAUCUCUGAUAAGGAUAGAUAGGCACCGGUAAAGCUCAUCAUGCCAACAACUCCGCUGGGGAUCUACCUGAGGACAUGAUGGAGUACUGGAUGUCAAUCCACCAAAUACUGAAUCUUCCAAGAAUAGCACCCAUGCUGGGGGAGGGAGGAAGACUGCUCUGCUGGAGAGAGGAAAGUUGAAGUCUUCAAUAAAUGCUCUGCCUAGG